CAGCUCAGUGGUAAAGUCUCUGCUUGGCAUACAGAACGUCUCGGGUUCGACCCCUGGCAGGUAGG
Molecule: non-coding RNA, 65 nt
Organism: Podarcis lilfordi (Lilford's wall lizard)
Lineage: Eukaryota; Metazoa; Chordata; Lepidosauria; Squamata; Lacertidae
Source: the annotation of a GenBank genome assembly